AGAGUUUGAUCCUGGCUCAGGAUGAACGCUGGCGGUAUGCUUAACACAUGCAAUUCGAACGGACUCUUCGGAGUUAGUGGCGGACGGGUGAGUAACGCGUGAGAAUCUGCCUACAGAUUGGGGACAACGUCGGGAAACUGACGCUAAUACCGAAUGUGCCGAGAGGUGAAAGAUUUAUCGUCUGUAGAUGAGCUCGCGUCUGAUUAGCUAGUUGGGGCGGUAACGGCGCACCAAGGCGACGAUCAGUAACUGGUCUGAGAGGAUGACCAGUCACACUGGGACUGAGACACGGCCCAGACUCCUACGGGAGGCAGCAGUGGGGAAUUUUCCGCAAUGGGCGAAAGCCUGACGGAGCAAUACCGCGUGCGGGAGGACGCUUUUUGGAGUGUAAACCGCUUUUCUCAAGGAAGAUGAUGACGGUACUUGAGGAAUCAGCAUCGGCUAACUUCGUGCCAGCAGCCGCGGUAAUACGAGGGAUGCAAGCGUUAUCCGGAAUUAUUGGGCGUAAAGCGUUCGUAGGUGGCAAAUUAAGUCUGUUGUCAAAACGUGGAGCUUAACUCCAUAUCGGCAAUGGAAACUGGUUAGCUAGAGUAUGGUAGGGGUAACAGGAAUUCCCAGUGUAGCGGUGAAAUGCGUAGAUAUUGGGAAGAACACCAGCGGCGAAAGCGUGUUACUGGGCCAUUACUGACACUGAGGGACGAAAGCUAGGGGAGCGAAAGGGAUUAGAUACCCCUGUAGUCCUAGCCGUAAACGAUGAGAACUAGGUGUUGCGCGUAUCGACCCGCGCGGUGCCGUAGCUAACGCGUUAAGUUCUCCGCCUGGGGAGUACGCACGCAAGUGUGAAACUCAAAGGAAUUGACGGGGGCCCGCACAAGCGGUGGAGUAUGUGGUUUAUUUCGAUGCAACGCGAAGAACCUUACCAGGGUUUGACAUCCUCGGAACUUUCUGGAAACAGAUUGGUGCCUUCGGGAACCGAGAGACAGGUGGUGCAUGGCUGUCGUCAGCUCGUGUCGUGAGAUGUUGGGUUAAGUCCCGCAACGAGCGCAACCCACGUUUUUAGUUGCCAGCAUUAAGUUGGGCACUCUAGAGAGACUGCCGGUGACAAACCGGAGGAAGGUGUGGAUGACGUCAAGUCAGCAUGCCCCUUACAUCCUGGGCUACACACGUACUACAAUGCUACGGACAAAGGGCAGCGAGCCAGCAAUGGUCUGCAAAUCCCAUAAACCGUGGCUCAGUUCAGAUUGCAGGCUGCAACUCGCCUGCAUGAAGGCGGAAUCGCUAGUAAUCGCAGGUCAGCAUACUGCGGUGAAUACGUUCCCGGGCCUUGUACACACCGCCCGUCACACCAUGGGAGUUGGUCACGCCCGAAGUGGUUACCCUAACCGUAAGGAGGGGGACCCCUAAGGCAGGG
This 1411-nucleotide ribosomal RNA is filed under the name metagenome. RNAcentral's name for it is "bacterial SSU rRNA". It matches the Rfam family "Bacterial small subunit ribosomal RNA". The record is from RNAcentral.